CAUCAUCUUCAGCUCAAACCCUUGAAUUCUACAGCAUCUCAGUUUCAAUCCCUUUCAACUUCAUUACAGACCAACCCAUUCUUCCUUACAUUAUCAAGAUUCAAAAGCCAUUCAAUUCAUAAUCCAAAAUCAAGCCCUAAUUCUAAAUCUCCACAGCCUUAUCAAAAUAUAAGAUAAAUCAGCAACCACAACCAUCAUCCUCGAAUGCAGAGAACCCUAAUUCUAAUUCGGGAAGAACGGAAAGGAUCAAUGGAAUCCCUAAUUUGAUUUCAAACUUCAAUCUAACCCAUUUCUCUAUCACUUACACAUCCAUCUCCAGAACCCAUUCCAUAUCUGCUGACCCUAACUUCUAAUUUCUUCACAUAAACCAGAAACAACAGAUUCAUCAUCUCUUCUUUCAUUAGGUGAUUGAUAAAAAUUCAACAAAUUUCUUCACCGAUUCCCCGAUCUCGUUUCUUGUUCUCGACAAGCAUUAAAACUCAUCAAUUCAUCUGUGUUCUUCCUCACUAGAAUAGUCUCACAAAACUGCGCCUCCAUUUCUCACCUCUCUGAAAUUUAGGUGUGAUGUAACGAUAGAGAAAUUCCCGAUCUAGUUUUAGGGUUGAUCAUAAGGAGACGUUAAAGGCACCCGUUUAGAUGGAUAAAAGCUAUCGUUCUAGGGAUUGUUUUGUGAAUACACAAUUAUUUAGGGGUGCAUGAAAAAAUAAACCAAGUCAAAUAGUUAGACACAUCAUCAUGUAACGAGUCAACGCGGGUCAACGUUGGUCUUUAGACCAAACGCAAAGGAUGGAAAAAUGUUAGACCAAACCCAGGUUUUGGUCAAAAAUUGAGUACCAAAAACCAAAUAAUCCAAAAAUGAUCCAUAACCAAUCUUGAACGAAACAGAAAAUUGCACGUUGGUGGAGUCGUGCUCAUAACGUGUUGUAGUAAAAUCAUAUAGAAGAAGGCAAAGAGGCAGAGAAUGAGAAGGAAUCUCUCCAUUAACGAAAUAUGGUGGUUAUGUCAUGGAUAAAGACCCCCGUACGAUUCGAGAUCCUGUGGCCUGGAAAAAACGGCGGGAGAAGUAAUUCGUGACCGCACAGAUGGGAGAGGGUAAUUCGGAGCCGUCCGAUUCUGUCUCCGUGCGUUCAUUGGGUUCUCUUUCUUUCUCAUAAACCCUAUACGCAACUACUCCUUCUUUAUCCGCGUGGUUUCGUGGGAGAGAUCGCUGAUUUUGUGAUGCGAUUAUAUUAUAAUCUCACAGGUCGUUCAAGAAUCCCUGAUGAUUUCACGGAUUUUCCUUUUUGAGGUCUUUGAAGCGAAAUUUGAAGGAAUCGGGAGCAGUUUUGAGAUCGAGGGAUACGGAUAAGGCUUAAGAAAGGGAUGAUGAUGGUUGUGCUGAUUGUUUUGGUUGACUAAAACUCGUGGGAAGGUAAAUCAGAAUACAUAAAUUAGGAUUUGUCAAUUGACUCUUGAAUUGAAUUAUAAACUGAGUAAUUAGUGAUGCGUUUGUUCUUAAUUGAAGAAUAGAGAAUUCUAUAGGGUUCAAUUUUAGUUUCUUUUGGAAAUUGAAAUCUUAAGUUAGGGUUUUUGUGAAUUGAAUCAGAAAUUUUGGGCAAAGUUGAAUCAGAAGGAUAAGAAGAAACAUGCUAAAACCUUAUAAUUGUUAUCUCUGCAGGGGUUUCUUAGGUCUGAAUUCGAUCUAAACUAAUGUAUUACGGUUACCAAUUAUGAUAAUAGGAUUGAAAUCUUAACUUUACGCCCAAUUUUUAUUGAUUCAAUACUUUGAAACUCACUUGUUGGGGUUGUUGUUGGUGCUGGAUGGAAAAGUGUCAUAGCUUAUGUGAACCUAGCCUGCUAUUACUUGGUCAGAAUUCCUCUUCAAAUGAUCCUCGGUUACCUUAUCGAUUUUCAAGUUACAGUAAUUUAUUUACUAAAAGUUUGUCUAUGCUAAACCAUAAAGCAAUCCUGAGUGAUAUAGCCAGCAAGUACUCUGAUGGUAAACAACGGCUGUGUGACGGUGUGAGGUCAGUCUUAUUAUCUACUUUAAGUCUCUGCACCUAUUGGAAAAAGUGCUGUUUGAAAAAUUACAGCAGAAAACGUUGCUUCCAAUGAGAUACGGUUUUCUGACUUUAAUUGGUCAAGUGUUACUUUGUUUGAAACUAACUCGAGUAUGCUAUUGUAUGUAAUGUAUAGCUUCCUUGCCUACCGAAUCCGCCACCCACCGUGGAAGACUUGAUGCAGACUUGAGUAUCAUCAAUACUUCAUUGGGAACGCCAAUUCAAAAGGGAUCGUUACCGAAUUUGUCAGUUCACGUGUACUGGAAUUUUAUUCUUUCGUAUUUUUUUCCAGCAAGAUAAUUUGUUGGAAUGUAGUGUGUAUCCUAGUUAGCAAUUCGGGAUUCGACAAACGUACGGAACGACAAACGUACGAGUAUUAUACGGUUUUGUAAAAUUCAGAUUCCCUCCAAAAUUCGGUCAACGGGACGUGAUUCAUCAGUAAUUCGGAACGGCAUACGUACGUGUAUAAUUCGAUUUAUAAAUGUGAGUUCGCUCUGAAAAUUCGGUAUCUAUAUAUGACAAAUAAUUUGUAUUUAUAAGGUCAUAGACCAAUUUUAUGCAUAUGUGUGAGUUAUUUAAAGAAAAAAUAAACUUAAUAUGAUGAUAUUAAUUAUAUAUACAACAUUAGUCAUCCAAGAGGACGUCAUAUGGUGGUUUAGAUGCUUGGUUAGUGAGUUUGAGAUCUCUCUCACCUUCACCUUCAAAUCUCUUCGGUCAUUUUUGUUUCAUAAAAAUUACAACACGUCUAAUAUUGGGUCGUGUAUGCUCGGGAGGCAGUAAAUCCCAGAGAAUAGGGUCUUUGAAAACGUAAAAGCUAAAGAAUUUAUGGAAAAUUAAGCGGACGUAUCAUUCGGGAUACGUAAAAUUCUUGAACGAUUCGCGAAUAAUCCGGGAAUGCCACAUAAUACGCGAUUUGGGUUCGGAGUUGCAAACGUUCGCGAAUAAGACUGUAAAAUUCGUGAUAACGUGAAUCAUUCGCGAACUUACUAACUAGGGUGUGUAUGAGGUUGCAACGGCCUAGAGGGCUACUGAACUAGCCUGGAAAGGAAAUUAGGAGGCAGAGAAAUUUAGGAAUUAAAAAAGAUUGGGUAUUCAGUUGAAGAGAAAUUUAGGAGGCAGAGUUUAAUCACGAAGACGAUGCAGAGGAAAGGAAGAACAAGGAAAAUCAAUUCGGAGCAAGAAAUAGAAUAUUGUAGAAAUAUGAUCUUGCUGCUGUCUUUUCAAGUCAGAGUCCGUAUAUAUGAUCAAGAGAUAUGGGGUUUGAAGUAACUAAUCGUAAAAACAAUACCACCAGUUGAAAGACACAAAGUGUUUGAAAGAAAGCCUGAACCAGGGGAAUACAUUAGUAUCCUCUGAUGUUUUCUUUUUUGACAUGUUCUACUCAGGGGAAUACAUUAGUAUCUGAUGUUGUUUGAUUAUUCAUUCCCCUGAGUCUCUCUUUCUUCCCUGUAAGAGAACUCCAUCAGCAACAACUGCAUCCAUUCUUUGUAAUUUAAAUUCCUACACCAUCUUUAUGUGUUUUUAUUUAAUCCCUUAAUUUUUUUUGUGGAUAUACUGCUUGAUUUGGAUGUUAGACUGUGCAAUGGACAAGCGCCACAGCCAGCAUUUCAUCGGUUCAUGUAUAUGUAUAGUAAUUUAGGACAGUCUGCAUUGCUAAUGUCGUAGAUCAGUUCUUUUAAACUUUGUAUAAUUGUUUGUUUAUAGGGGAAUAAUGCUUAUUCUUUUUUGCGGUUCUUCCUUGUUUAUCUGUUGUAGAUUGUAUCUCCUGGCGAAAGUUUGUUGAUUUUUUGCAGUGUUUUAGUUUGUGCUUUUGGAGGAAAAGAAAGAAGAUGAUGUAGAGGAAUAAAAGAAGAAGCUGUACAAGGAGACGUGUUGCUGAGCAUUACAGUUGGGGACACCUGAUGCAACUUUGAAUCCAUGAACUGGCUUAAUGGGUACAAGGAGAUUUGAAUCAACUUAGAAAACUAUAUUUACUAUUCUAUCUGGUUCUUUUUCAGGUUCAUGGAGCACCAGAAGAAGAAUAAAAAACCAGUUAAUCAAUGAGUUUUAAGGUUCAAUCGCAAUAAUUCGUGAAGCCUCAACAACGGCAGUUAUAUGAUAAAGAAGUAUUUAUCGUAUCACUGCACUAUUUGCAGCCAAUCCAUAAUCAGUGAAGCCUCAACAACGACAGUUAUAUGGGACCACAGAUAAUGAUAGAAAGUGGGGUUGAUGUGCUAAUGGCCGCUGCAAUGGGAGCUGAUGAGUAUUGAUUUAGUAUAGGAGGUUAUUUCCAAGGGUUCGUGGAGUCUGAUUUGGUUUGUGUUGGCAGGGAAGACAUGUGAGAUAGAAAUCGGUUUGUUGUGCUGGAAUUGAGAAAUUGCAGGUGAUGCAGGAAUGAGGAAUGUGCAGUGAUGCUCAAUGUAUUGCAGCCGCAUUUGAGUACCUGGGAUUGAAGUGGUUGAUAAUAACUGUGGAGGAGAUGAGAGAUUUGUGGUUGGGUUAGCUUCAAAGCCGGAAAUAUAGGUCAGUUGUGUGGAUCAAAUUAUAUCAGUAGAAGACACAUCGUGCCUAAUUCUUAGUUGUUCAUGGACAUUAGAGUUGGCAUAGUUGCCAGGGCAAGUAACCACAUCGUGCUCGGGACCAGGAUUUGAGGGUGAGAAUCAAGAUACGUUGUGAUUCUGAAAACUCGAGUGUGGGAUGUGACCACCAGUGCAUUAGAGUUUCCCGUAUUACAUUGCUUCUUGGUUGCUCAUAUUGCUUGAAUAAUAAGUCCUUGAGCCUCUUGAUGAAAUGUUUGUGUACCAGGCUUGCCAAUUCACAUCUAAGUGCGGUAUGUUCUCAUGGGAAUAUGAAUUUUGGUUUUCGCCAAUCCAGAUCUAAGUACGGUACGUUCUCAUGGGAAUAUGGAUUUGGUUUUCAAAGAAUAAUUUUGGAUUGUAGAAUUUGUUUAUAUGAUUUGCUCGCUCACUUGGUGUUACUUAUUGUCCCAGUGUCUUCAACUUCGUGCUAAAAAAAAAUCUCUGUGUGAAGUAUUUUUCUUUCGUGAAUCGAUGUAUGCAAUGGUUUCUUCUUCUCAGCACUUUCGUCGUUGUGAAAGUACUAUUUUUUGACAAGCUUUCGAACUAAGGUUUUGCAGGAUAUCGGGGAGCUGAUAUCUACAUCAACCCAUAUAGGCAGGCCAUUUGGUUUUAAUUAUUACUUCCUACCAAAUUCAGUGAUCUAAUGAAUUUCAUUCAUAUUUAUACCCUAUGUUUAUGAGCAUCGAUAUUUGCAUCAUGGGGAUUUGAUCUUUUAUGAAGUAGCCAUUGACAUCACCGAGAAGAUUUAUUCAAUCAAUCUCCAGAGAGAGAGAUUUUUUAUCGAUAUGGCAUCAGGAUGAGGAAUCACAAGGAACAAAGGAAGGUGUUAUGAUUUCUGGACAGAUUUCAGUGAAUGUAUGUCCAAUUGUAGAGAUCCUGGAGAUUUUUCUCUUCUUAGAGAAGAUUAUCCUGAGUGUCUUCAUCAUGCUAAAGAGGUUGUGUAGCUGGUGACGAUAAAUUGAUAUUAGGUGGUGUUGGACGUCCAGAUGAUUUAAGAGGUCCAAGAGCUGGUGGUGUAUAAGAACAGGUGGGAGAGGAAGUCAACGGGAAGUACUUGCUGGCUUCUGGUGUAUGGACAAGUCAUAUGCAGUUCAUUUAAUGACACUUUUCCAGCUGCUUCUAUCUCUUAAUAAGACAAGUCUUUUAAAUUAUGGACCUGCGGGGCAAUGGUAGCGCAUCUGACACCAGGUCAGAAGGGUACGUGUUCGAUUCACGUCAGGUCCAAUUGUCGGUAUUUAAACGUGCCCUAUCCUACAGAAAGUGGAAGUGUUAUUUUAUGUUUUGGUUGAGAUUCACGUCUUUCUCACAAGUGUUUAUCUUUCCUAGACUUUAAGUAAGUCGUACGGUAGAGUAAUUCGUUUAAUGUGGAUGCUUUUUAUGGGCUAAUGCUACAUGUCUGCCUUUUCGAGAUUGUGUCUCAGUGUCUCUACAGGAAGAAGUGGAUGCACUUAACUUCAAGUCUCAACAAACAACAACUAAAGGGCUGAACAAACAGCCACCAAUGGUAACCAUAACAUCAGCAGAAAUACACUUCAGACAAGCAACAACACAUUUGAAUAACUAAUUCAGGAUUGUCCAACAAGCCCGCAUACCUGGAGAACAUGUAUAUGUUCACACAGAACGUCUGUAGUAGGAAUUAAAGCCGAUGGUAGUGGGUAUUUAUGGUAAGAACUACCAUGAUAAUGUUGUAGUUACUACAAUUUUGUACACAAACUAAAUCAAGGACCUGUGGCGCAAUGGUAGCGCACCUGACUUCAUGUCAGAAUGGUACGUGUUUUAUUCACGUUAGGCCCAAUUGUCGCUAUUCAACCGUGUCCUACGAAUAGUUAAAGUCCUAUGAAUAGUUAAAAGUGUUGUUUCUGUUUUGGUUGAGAUACUCACUGUUUAGUUUGUUAUCUGGGUAUUUCGUAUGUAAGUUGUUGUAGAUCCUCGCAACAUUGAACGAGAAUCUAGAUUGCCUAUAAAGAAGUUGUCUGCUUCUUUGGUUGCAGAAAAGGUAUAAUUUUGGUUGAUUUUUA
This is a long non-coding RNA of Papaver somniferum (opium poppy), 6615 nucleotides long. RefSeq lists it as uncharacterized. Lineage: Eukaryota; Viridiplantae; Streptophyta; Magnoliopsida; Ranunculales; Papaveraceae. The record is from RefSeq and is a predicted model, not a curated record. The transcript has 12 exons.